AUAAUGAUACUUCUGUCCAGCCACAGCCCCCUCCUUCCUUUCUGAGAUUGAGGGGAUCACGCAAUGGGGGCAGCCCGGUGAGAACCACGGGGAGGUUAAAUGCCUAUG
Molecule: non-coding RNA, 108 nt
Filed under: pig gut metagenome
Description: pemK RNA
Rfam family: pemK RNA
Source: RNAcentral